This is a long non-coding RNA of Tympanuchus pallidicinctus (lesser prairie-chicken), 380 nucleotides long. RefSeq lists it as uncharacterized. The transcript has 3 exons. NCBI's taxonomy places the organism in Eukaryota, Metazoa, Chordata, Aves, Galliformes, Phasianidae. The record is from RefSeq and is a predicted model, not a curated record.
UUGUUGAUCAUGAACCGAUACCAUGCUGGUGGCAAUGAGUGGUCACACACCAGGACCUGAGCAGACGUUCGCUGCAGCUCCAGCGAGUCAAACCUGGUGCUGCGGUAUGGGCUGCGGAGGAUGCGAUGUCCAGCUGGGGAGCACUCAGGAGCUGAAAGAUCAGCGAGCUAUGCACUGCUCCACAGAAGUAUGCAGAUAGAGGCAGCCAAGCAUCUCUUACCUGACGACCAAAAAGGUGUGAGGAAUGGCUAGCAGAGGAGGUGACAACAAGAAGUCCCUGCAAGAAAGAGAACCAAGACUUUGUGAAGGUAGAUCCCUCUGGGACUGGCCAACACCAGCACAAAUGCAUGUAGGUAAAAGGUAGCACAAAAGCCCUGGCA